Molecule: ribosomal RNA, 160 nt
Filed under: Pyramidula tetragona
Lineage: Eukaryota; Viridiplantae; Streptophyta; Bryopsida; Funariales; Funariaceae
Description: 5.8S ribosomal RNA
Rfam family: 5.8S ribosomal RNA
About the family: 5.8S ribosomal RNA (5.8S rRNA) is a component of the large subunit of the eukaryotic ribosome. It is transcribed by RNA polymerase I as part of the 45S precursor that also contains 18S and 28S rRNA.
Source: RNAcentral
AAAACAACUCUCAGCAACGGAUAUCUUGGCUCUUGCAACGAUGAAGAACGCAGCGAAAUGCGAUACGUAGUGUGAAUUGCAGAAUUCCGUGAAUCAUCGAGUUUUUGAACGCAAGUUGCGCCCGAGGCUUGUCCAAGGGCAUUCUCGCCAGAGCGUCAUC